This 420-nucleotide ribosomal RNA is filed under the name uncultured bacterium. RNAcentral describes it as "partial 16S ribosomal RNA". It matches the Rfam family "Bacterial small subunit ribosomal RNA", at positions 360 to 772 of the family's 1533-position model. The record is from RNAcentral.
AAUAUUGGACAAUGGGGGCAACCCUGAUCCAGCCAUGCGGCGUGUGUGAAGAAGGUCUUCGGAUUGUAAGGCACUUUAAGUUGGGAGGAAGGGCUUUAGGUUAAUACCCUGCAGUUUUGACGUUACCAACAGAAUAAGCACCGGCCAACUCUGCUCCAGCCGCCGCGGUAAUACAGAGGGUGCAAGCGUUAACCGGAAUUACUGGGCGUAAAGCGCGCGUACGUGGUUCAGUAAGAUGGGUGUGAAAUCCCCGGGCUUAACCGAGGAACUGCUUUCAUAACUGCUGAGCUAGAGUACGGUAGAGGGUAGUGGAAUUUCCUGUGUAGCGGUGAAAUGCGUAGAUAUAGGAAGGAACACCAGUGGCGAAGGCGACUACCUGGACUGAUACUGACACUGAGGUGCGAAAGCGUGGGGCGCAAA